Molecule: ribosomal RNA, 1351 nt
Filed under: Enterococcus durans
Lineage: Bacteria; Bacillati; Bacillota; Bacilli; Lactobacillales; Enterococcaceae
Description: bacterial SSU rRNA
Rfam family: Bacterial small subunit ribosomal RNA
Source: RNAcentral
AACUUGCUCCACCGGAAAAAGAAGAGUGGCGAACGGGUGAGUAACACGUGGGUAACCUGCCCAUCAGAAGGGGAUAACACUUGGAAACAGGUGCUAAUACCGUAUAACAAUCGAAACCGCAUGGUUUUGAUUUGAAAGGCGCUUUCGGGUGUCGCUGAUGGAUGGACCCGCGGUGCAUUAGCUAGUUGGUGAGGUAACGGCUCACCAAGGCCACGAUGCAUAGCCGACCUGAGAGGGUGAUCGGCCACAUUGGGACUGAGACACGGCCCAAACUCAUACGGGAGGCAGCAGUAGGGAAUCUUCGGCAAUGGACGAAAGUCUGACCGAGCAACCCCGCGUGAGUGAAGAAGGUUUUCGGAUCGUAAAACUCUGUUGUUAGAGAAGAACAAGGAUGAGAGUAACUGUUCAUCCCUUGACGGUAUCUAACCAGAAAGCCACGGCUAACUACGUGCCAGCAGCCGCGGUAAUACGUAGGUGGCAAGCGUUGUCCGGAUUUAUUGGGCGUAAAGCGAGCGCAGGCGGUUUCUUAAGUCUGAUGUGAAAGCCCCCGGCUCAACCGGGGAGGGUCAUUGGAAACUGGGAGACUUGAGUGCAGAAGAGGAGAGUGGAAUUCCAUGUGUAGCGGUGAAAUGCGUAGAUAUAUGGAGGAACACCAGUGGCGAAGGCGGCUCUCUGGUCUGUAACUGACGCUGAGGCUCGAAAGCGUGGGGAGCAAACAGGAUUAGAUACCCUGGUAGUCCACGCCGUAAACGAUGAGUGCUAAGUGUUGGAGGGUUUCCGCCCUUCAGUGCUGCAGCUAACGCAUUAAGCACUCCGCCUGGGGAGUACGACCGCAAGGUUGAAACUCAAAGGAAUUGACGGGGGCCCGCACAAGCGGUGGAGCAUGUGGUUUAAUUCGAAGCAACGCGAAGAACCUUACCAGGUCUUGACAUCCUUUGACCACUCUAGAAAUAGAGCUUCCCCUUCGGGGGCAAAGUGACAGGUGGGUGCAUGGGUUGUCCUCAGCUCCUGUCCUGAAAAUGUUGGGGUUAAAUCCCCGCAACGAAGCGCAACCCUUUAUUGUUAGUUGCCAUCCAUCCAGUUGGGCACUCUAGCAAGACUGCCGGUGACAAACCGGAGGAAGGUGGGGAUGACGUCAAAUCAUCAUGCCCCUUAUGACCUGGGCUACACACGUGCUACAAUGGGAAGUACAACGAGUCGCGAAGUCGUGAGGCUAAGCUAAUCUCUUAAAGCUUCUCUCAGUUCGGAUUGUAGGCUGCAACUCGCCUACAUGAAGCCGGAAUCGCUAGUAAUCGCGGAUCAGCACGCCGCGGUGAAUACGUUCCCGGGCCUUGUACACACCGCCUGUCAC